This 496-nucleotide ribosomal RNA is filed under the name uncultured bacterium. RNAcentral's name for it is "partial 16S ribosomal RNA". It matches the Rfam family "Bacterial small subunit ribosomal RNA", at positions 28 to 507 of the family's 1533-position model. The record is from RNAcentral.
GAUGAACGCUGGCGGCGUGCCUAAUACAUGCAAGUCGAGCGAACAGAUGAGGAGCUUGCUCCUCUGACGUUAGCGGCGGACGGGUGAGUAACACGUGGAUAACCUACCUAUAAGACUGGGAUAACUUCGGGAAACCGGAGCUAAUACCGGAUAAUAUAUUGAACCGCAUGGUUCAAUAGUGAAAGACGGCUUUGCUGUCACUUAUAGAUGGAUCCGCGCCGCAUUAGCUAGUUGGUAAGGUAACGGCUUACCAAGGCAACGAUGCGUAGCCGACCUGAGAGGGUGAUCGGCCACACUGGAACUGAGACACGGUCCAGACUCCUACGGGAGGCAGCAGUAGGAAUCUUCCGCAAUGGGCGAAAGCCUGACGGAGCAACGCCGCGUGAGUGAUGAAGGUCUUCGGAUCGUAAAACUCUGUUAUUAGGGAAGAACAAAUGUGUAAGUAACUAUGCACGUCUUGACGGUACCUAAUCAGAAAGCCACGGCUAACUACGUG